Thalassophryne amazonica is the source of this 324-nucleotide long non-coding RNA. RefSeq lists it as uncharacterized. Lineage: Eukaryota; Metazoa; Chordata; Actinopteri; Batrachoidiformes; Batrachoididae. The transcript is spliced from 3 exons. The record is from RefSeq and is a predicted model, not a curated record.
AAUGUGACGUCUCCAGAUCUGAACAGCACAUCAGUUCCACACUCGCUGUCUGUCCAGUUACCUCACUUUGUCUGAUCCUGUUGAGAAAAUCAUCUCAUGUUCAUUUUUCUAAACAGGACUUACUGAUGCACUCUUCCUCCCCCUCUUUGCCGUAUCCAAGUUCAUGUGUGUAAAGUUGUGGAAUAUUCAGGCAGAUGAUCCAAGGAUAAUGGAAUUCUUUGUAGCUCUAAGGCUGUCCUUGGUGUCUACAUAGAGUCAGCACCAUAACUAUUGAGACUGUGGUCAUUUUUGUAACAUUGUGUCUGCACACCGUUGCAAUGUAGU